AGUCCCCAGCGCCAGACUGCAGCCAGAGACCAGAUCAUCUUAUUGUCCUGGUGAAAACAACGUUGACACUGCAACCAAAGCUACUGCAUGAAGGCCAGGACUUCAUCUCAAAAUCCGCCAUCAUGGAACCACGCAGGAUUUGAAAAAGCAAAAGACGCAGAGGGUUUUUGUAAGCCAAAAUGAAGUCAGGUGCAUCAGGCUCCCCGUCCCUCCCUGAGCUGCAUCAGCCACGCUGUGAAGUGUGAAGGAGGAUUGAGAGGAGCUCCAGCGGCGAAAAACGUUUUGAGCUGAUGCAACCCAAGUCCCUAGGAGACUUUCUGCAGAGAAUGUAACACAAGCGACUUGUCAAGAAAGUGAAGCACGAGUGGAGAUCUUUGUGCUUCCUUCACUAGCUCACUUGCAAAACCCUGCUACCUAACCGUUGUCUAAACACUUGUGGAAAUCAGAUCAUUA
This is a long non-coding RNA of Bufo bufo (common toad), 453 nucleotides long. RefSeq lists it as uncharacterized. The record is from RefSeq and is a predicted model, not a curated record. The transcript is spliced from 3 exons. NCBI's taxonomy places the organism in Eukaryota, Metazoa, Chordata, Amphibia, Anura, Bufonidae.